RNAcentral lists this ribosomal RNA (254 nucleotides) under uncultured bacterium. Its description in RNAcentral is "partial 16S ribosomal RNA". It matches the Rfam family "Bacterial small subunit ribosomal RNA", at positions 524 to 776 of the family's 1533-position model. The record is from RNAcentral.
UACGGAGGGUGCGAGCGUUGUCCGGAAUCAUUGGGCGUAAAGGGCGCGUAGGUGGCCCGGUCAGUUCGUGGUGAAAGCGCGGGGCUCAACCCUGCGUCGGCCAUGAAUACUGCCGCGGCUGGAGCACUGUAGAGGCAGGCGGAAUUCCGGGUGUAGCGGUGGAAUGCGUAGAGAUCCGGAGGAACACCAGCGGCGAAGGCGGCGUCCUGGACUGGUACUGACGCUCAGGAGCGAAAGCGUGGGGAGCGAUCCGG